ACACCUUGUAUUUGUAUAUGUUUAUAAUCCUUACUACCAGGAUGUCUGGGGCUAGUGAAUCCCUUGAUCUCUGGAGUUCUGAGCUGCACUAUAUAGGGUUAAGCCAAUGGGGCACCCAUACUAAGUCUGACAUCAAUAUGGGAAGUCACCAGACUGCCUAAGGAGGAGUGAACAAACCCAAGUUGGAAAUGGAUCAAGUCAAAGUGUCUGUGCUAAUCAGUAGUGGAGUUGAACCCAUUAGUGGCCGCUGCCUGUCCUGCCUGGGCAAGAUAGGGAGAUCUAGUCUU
Molecule: signal recognition particle RNA, 287 nt
Filed under: Vombatus ursinus (common wombat)
Lineage: Eukaryota; Metazoa; Chordata; Mammalia; Diprotodontia; Vombatidae
Description: Metazoan signal recognition particle RNA (ENSVURG00010004268.1)
Rfam family: Metazoan signal recognition particle RNA
About the family: The signal recognition particle (SRP) is a universally conserved ribonucleoprotein. It is involved in the co-translational targeting of proteins to membranes. The eukaryotic SRP consists of a 300-nucleotide 7S RNA and six proteins: SRPs 72, 68, 54, 19, 14, and 9.
Source: RNAcentral